GGUUCGUUGGCGCAAUGGUAGCGCACAGCCCUCCUAUUUACAAACACGAAGGUCAGGCUGGGGUUGUGGGUUCGAGUCCCAUGCGAAUCG
Aulographum hederae CBS 113979 is the source of this 90-nucleotide non-coding RNA. NCBI's taxonomy places the organism in Eukaryota, Fungi, Ascomycota, Dothideomycetes, Aulographales, Aulographaceae. The record is from the annotation of a GenBank genome assembly.